UCGAUUCCCUUAGUAGCGGCGAGCGAAACGGGAAGAGCCCAAACCAACAAGCUUGCUUGUUGGGGUUGUAGGACACUCUAUACGGAGUUACAAAGGACGACAUUAGACGAAUCAUCUGGAAAGAUGAAUCAAAGAAGGUAAUAAUCCUGUAGUCGAAAAUGUUGUCUCUCUUGAGUGGAUCCUGAGUACGACGGAGCACGUGAAAUUCCGUCGGAAUCUGGGAGGACCAUCUCCUAAGGCUAAAUACUCUCUAGUGACCGAUAGUGAACCAGUACCGUGAGGGAAAGGUGAAAAGCACCCCGGAAGGGGAGUGAAAUAGAACCUGAAACCGUGUGCUUACAAGUAGUCAGAGCCCGUUAAUGGGUGAUGGCGUGCCUUUUGUAGAAUGAACCGGCGAGUUACGAUUUGAUGCAAGGUUAAGCAGUAAAUGUGGAGCCGUAGCGAAAGCGAGUCUGAAUAGGGCGUUUAGUAUUUGGUCGUAGACCCGAAACCAGGUGAUCUACCCUUGGUCAGGUUGAAGUUCAGGUAACACUGAAUGGAGGACCGAACCGACUUACGUUGAAAAGUGAGCGGAUGAACUGAGGGUAGCGGAGAAAUUCCAAUCGAACCUGGAGAUAGCUGGUUCUCUCCGAAAUAGCUUUAGGGCUAGCCUCAAGUGAUGAUUAUUGGAGGUAGAGCACUGUUUGGACGAGGGGCCCCUCUCGGGUUACCGAAUUCAGACAAACUCCGAAUGCCAAUUAAUUUAACUUGGGAGUCAGAACAUGGGUGAUAAGG
Molecule: ribosomal RNA, 774 nt
Filed under: Staphylococcus aureus
Lineage: Bacteria; Bacillati; Bacillota; Bacilli; Caryophanales; Staphylococcaceae
Description: partial 23S ribosomal RNA
Rfam family: Bacterial large subunit ribosomal RNA
Source: RNAcentral